UUCCUCUGUGUAACAGCCAAUGACUUUUAUAGAAUCAGUGAUUAGCAAACCAACCUCUGUAUCCGUCUCACAUUCUCCUCCAUCUUCUCGUUGGCGAUCUUAGCGAGGAAACUGAUGUACUCGUGGUCCACCAGGAGCACUCCGUUUCUGCUGAGAGGAACCUCUAAGCCAUGUGUGCUCCGGACUGCCUACAGGACCGAAUAUAGCAAAGCUGUGCAUCUUUCAGCUGCCUGCACUGAACAUGGAGAACAAAGGGCUCAAACUUCAACACGGCAUCUGCACUGGACCGGGCCAGGCCAGACAUCUGCAGAGACAGAAGCACACAUGUAAUGUGUUUUAAUAUCUGAUGCAUUAUAUUAAAUUUAAUUGAUAUAACAAGAA
Molecule: long non-coding RNA, 381 nt
Organism: Notolabrus celidotus (New Zealand spotty)
Lineage: Eukaryota; Metazoa; Chordata; Actinopteri; Labriformes; Labridae
Exons: 2
Source: RefSeq, a predicted model, not a curated record